UUUUUAAAUUGCUGUAGUAUUUUGACUAUACAAAGGUAUUGAAAUAAGAUUUUAAUUGAAUGCUAAGAGAAUGGAAUUUCAGAAAAAAACUUUUUUUAAAUUAAAAAUUGAAAUUUUUUUAAUUUGUGCAGAAACAAUUAUUAACAUUAAGGACAAGAAGACCCUAUGAAUUUUUGAAAUUUUUAAUAAUAGUAAUUUAUUAUUAUUAAAAAUUUUAGCUGGGGCGGCUAAAAAAUAUAAUUAACUUUUUAAAAAUAAAACGAUCCACUAAUAAUGAUUACAUGUUAAAUACUCUAGGGAUAACAGCGUUAUAUUUUUUGAUAGACCAUAUUGACAAAAAAGUUUGCGACCUCGAUGUUGGAUUAGGAUACUUUUUUAAUGAAGAUAUUAAAAAAGAAGUUUGUUCAACUUUUAAUUUCCUACUUGAUCUGAGUUCAGACCGG
This 443-nucleotide ribosomal RNA is filed under the name Rhipicephalus pusillus. Its description in RNAcentral is "partial large subunit ribosomal RNA". The stretch from base 299 to 443 matches the Rfam family "Bacterial large subunit ribosomal RNA", at positions 2473 to 2619 of the family's 2925-position model. Lineage: Eukaryota; Metazoa; Arthropoda; Arachnida; Ixodida; Ixodidae. The record is from RNAcentral.